RNAcentral lists this ribosomal RNA (460 nucleotides) under uncultured bacterium. RNAcentral describes it as "partial 16S ribosomal RNA". It matches the Rfam family "Bacterial small subunit ribosomal RNA", at positions 338 to 795 of the family's 1533-position model. The record is from RNAcentral.
CCUACGGGUGGCAGCAGUGAGGAAUAUUGGUCAAUGGGCGCGAGCCUGAACCAGCCAAGUAGCGUGAAGGAUGACUGCCCUACGGGUUGUAAACUUCUUUUAUAAAGGAAUAAAGUGAGGCACGUGUGCCCUUUUGUAUGUACUUUAUGAAUAAGGAUCGGCUAACUCCGUGCCAGCAGCCGCGGUAAUACGGAGGAUCCGAGCGUUAUCCGGGUUUAUUGGGUUUAAAGGGAGCGUAGAUGGGUUUUUAAGUCAGUUGUGAAAUUUUGCGGCUAAACCGUAAAAUUGCAAUUGAUACUGGCAGUCUUGAGUACAGUUGAGGUAGGCGGAAUUCGUGGUGUAGCGGUGAAAUGCUUAGAUAUCACGAAGAACUCCGAUUGCGAAGGCAGCUUACUAAUCUGUGACUGACAUUGAUGCUCGAAAGUGUGGGUAUCAAACAGGAUUAGAUACCCGAGUAGUC